Molecule: long non-coding RNA, 1545 nt
Organism: Argiope bruennichi
Lineage: Eukaryota; Metazoa; Arthropoda; Arachnida; Araneae; Araneidae
Exons: 4
Source: RefSeq, a predicted model, not a curated record
UGAAUUACCGGAAUUGAAACAGGGUCAUAUGUGCUCCUGACUACAGGAUUCUAAGUAAUUGAACCCCUAAGAAUAAUCAGCAUGUGACAAACAUCUGCAUGUAAUUGUCACAAGGCAGCUACUGCAUGGCUGAAGAACAGUUUCCGGUAAUCUAUUCCAGCACAAAUGAUCCUGAUAUGUUUUAAGUGAAGUAAUCACGGCACAACAGAUAUCUGAUGCUGUUAACAAGUGUAUAUUGGAAUUUGAAUUCCUUGCGAUUGAAUUGUGAGUAAAGAUCCAGCAGGUUUAAUCGACAGUUUGAGCUUGGACUAAUAUUUCAAGUUUUACAAAAUCUUAUUUUUAGGACCGAAAACUUAUUGAAACGUAUAAGCCAUCUGAAUAUGUAUUGAAAGCGAAAGAAAUGGUUAUGAUCUUUGCAUAUUCUACAGAAGUAGUUUUGGAGCGACAAGUGUCGGAAUUAGGCUGAUUUCGCAUGAACAUUUGCACACACAUUUUAACAAAUGAACAGAAAGAACAAAUGUUAAUUUGAAUGAUUUUUUUGUAGUGAUGGUAGCAAGAGCUUUGAUAAUAUCACUUCAAACAAUUUUACUUAUGCCAAGAAGAUUCUCGAUUUCUUAAUUUUUACUCAAGUGAGAUAAAAUGCAUCAAUCAAAACCAAGACAAAAUCGCCUGCAUUUGAUACUAGAGCAGCGAGCUGUGCAGAGAAUCUGUCGUCUAUUUGAACAAAAUUUUAAAAUGGAAUGAACUCCUUUUCCUCUCCAGCAACAACUUCUUUCUAUAUGUAGAAAGUAUCUGGAUGAUCAGGAAAGAACAUCACCAAUGCGAUAUUGGUAUUCAUAGAUCAGACAAUUAACGACAAUGUCGUUUUCCUGGUUUAAGAACAUGCCGUCCCAUCGAUAAAACGCCUUUCAAGAUUCCAAACACUCUUGCAAUAGACAACAAUUCUACCUGAUGCGGGGAGGAUAUUCCCUUAAGAUGAGUUCGAAGUACAUGGAAUUCAAGGAGAUGGUCAGUUCCUGAAUCGUAACAAUAAAACUAGCUCAAGGUGACACCCGAUGUUGACAUGUUUUGACCGAGGUGAUCAUGCCACACCAUACAGCAUCUGAAGCUUCUAUUAAGCAUAAAUUGGAAUUCGGAGUCUUUGGAGUUAAUUAUGUUCGGAAAAACAACCUAUGCAGUUGGUUUGUAAAAUUAUGAAUAUGUAUAUUGCCAAAAAUAAUUUACUUAAUGUAUAUUUGCUAUCAAAAGCUAUAUCUGUAUAUUGGAAAUGUUCUUUCAAAUGUAAUGGCCAUUAUUUGAGCAUAUCAAAACAUCUUUGAAAUGUCUCGUAACAUUUUAAGAACAAGAUAGUAAAUGUUUUUAUAUUUUCGAAAUUUGGUGAAGCUUGAAGUGCAUGGAAUAUCAUCCAAAACAAGCGUUUGACAUAUCAAUCGAUAUUUCAUCUUAAAGUUGUGUAGAAAGUUUCGUAUACCUACUUAAAGCGACUUUCAAAUAUUGCUCUGCAUUCAUUUCCUUCAAGAGUCAUGCUUGAUUUCUACUUCUUUC